UGGGGAAUAUUGCACAAUGGGCGCAAGCCUGAUGCAGCCAUGCCGCGUGUGUGAAGAAGGCCUUCGGGUUGUAAAGUACUUUCAGCGAGGAGGAAGGCGUUGUGGUUAAUAACCGCAGCGAUUGACGUUACUCGCAGAAGAAGCACCGGCUAACUCCGUGCCAGCAGCCGCGGUAAUACGGAGGGUGCAAGCGUUAAUCGGAAUUACUGGGCGUAAAGCGCACGCAGGCGGUCUGUCAAGUCGGAUGUGAAAUCCCCGGGCUCAACCUGGGAACUGCAUCCGAAACUGGCAGGCUAGAGUCUUGUAGAGGGGGGUAGAAUUCCAGGUGUAGCGGUGAAAUGCGUAGAGAUCUGGAGGAAUACCGGUGGCGAAGGCGGCCCCCUGGACAAAGACUGACGCUCAGGUGCGAAAGCGUGGGGAGCAAACA
RNAcentral lists this ribosomal RNA (427 nucleotides) under uncultured bacterium. Its description in RNAcentral is "partial 16S ribosomal RNA". It matches the Rfam family "Bacterial small subunit ribosomal RNA", at positions 355 to 774 of the family's 1533-position model. The record is from RNAcentral.